AGUGAAAAAAGCCAAACCUGUUGUGAAGUAGGGACGGAAAGCCAAGGGUCUCAAUUUUAAUGAGAUAGCCAAGUUGCCUUU
This 81-nucleotide non-coding RNA is filed under the name Sulfurovum sp. AR. Its description in RNAcentral is "c-di-GMP-I riboswitch aptamer". It matches the Rfam family "c-di-GMP-I riboswitch aptamer". From Rfam's summary of the family: GEMM was predicted in a large-scale screen for bacterial structured RNA regulatory elements. Genes associated with GEMM are involved in a diverse array of functions, including chemotaxis regulation, signal transduction, secretion and chitin. The record is from Rfam by way of RNAcentral. RNAcentral also lists the same sequence under 1 other name. Lineage: Bacteria; Pseudomonadati; Campylobacterota; Epsilonproteobacteria; Campylobacterales; Sulfurovaceae.